GCUAUGCACGUGUACCAGGUAACUUAACAAGGCUAUCACGAGUUCAACAACUUGAACUCAUCAUCCCAAGGAUCUCCCACCAUACAUGCAUAUUACAGUAAUCACAUUCGAUACACACACUUCGAAGAUAAGAGCGGAAGACUUUACAAAACAUUCUUUUUAUUUCUAAAACUGAAGGUUAUUACAUAGGAAGAGUUACAUUUAUUACAAGUCCUGAUAUAAUCAAAGUGCAUAACUUAUUACAAUAGCAGGAAGGUAGGAACCCUCCAAAGCUUAUACAUAAGCCUAACUAAUCCUCCUCUAGAACUGGAAGCGCCCUCCAGCCUCACGAACACAUAGAGUACUCCUCAUCACCUACAACAACAUGGGUUCGAAAACCCUGAGUACGAAGUGUACUUUCGCAAGUCUUACCCGACUAAGGAAAAAUGACUCUCAAGGAUAUGCUGGUUAAAUAGGAAUCAAGGAAAAGGCUUUAGCAAGAAUCAACUUAGAUACUUUUGCAGAAAUAGCCUACUAAAGUGAGUCCUUACUUUCAAUAUUUUAACGCCAGAUUAAAUAUUAAUAGACUCUGGUAGCAUCUAGUCUAAUUUCACCAUUUCAUCAAUACAACAUCAUUUUUAUUCAUAAUGUUUACAUCCUGACUUAGGUUGCAGGGCAGCGAUCAAGUCUCCACUCUCCGGGGAUAUAACGGCGAUCCGAAUCGAUUUACUCAGCUGAGGAUCUCUAACCACACGACAUAUGUAGCACUUAACCCUUGCAUAUGUCAACCAUUCCCACGGAUCCUCCACUGCAUGAACAGGUCCGCGCCACCCGAGAGCACACCACCCUUUUUAGGCGGUCCUUUGCCAGUAGGGUACGUGCCACUCUCGCCAUCUCUCCACUCCUAGUGCGCGAUUGUCUUUUCAUGUAUGGAAUAGCCGGGUUCAAGCUUACCCUGUCCCAUAUCCAGGGCAUGUGGCCAGUUAAGAUAGUCCUUGAUCAUACAGGCCUACAUACGCAUCCAAUCCUUAAUUAACCUGGGUAGAACAUCACCUGUUCAUAGCCCAAGUCCCGAUUUAAGUACUUUCAUCCUUAGGAUUGUUUGUGUUCCUUAGGAUGAAAAGAGCAUCAAAGGGAACUUUGCAGUAAGAUCCCACCACGCUCUCAAUGAAAAUAUUCUUGCAGGUAGAAGCCAUCUUUCCUCAGGAUAACCCCUGAGCUAGGCCUUAAUGCAAAAGACAACCUCUAUCCACAAGAUCUGAGCAGGGCUAAGCAUUUUUGUAAAUCAUAUUGUGAUACUUCACCAGAAGUAUCUAUAAAGGUAUGGAUAUCAAGGAAGGCAAUGCAUCAAAAGGUUCCAAGCAACUCCUAUAAACCUAAUGCACAUUUCACUAGAAUUAAAGUGUGUAAAAAUUAUUUAAAAACACAAGGAAGGGGUUGCAUGCACCGGGGCUUGCCUUUGUUGCAGUGAAGAGGUCUAGAUCCCUCUACAAGCUACCCAGUUAGAUGGCUCCUCCACUUGAUCAGCAGCCACUGGAGUAGAUUCCUCUUCAGUCACCACUUCAGCUUGAAUCUUCAGUCCUCGUGCUGGGAGUUCUAUAUGAAAUAACAUGAUCAUGGAUGUUUAUGCUUAUGCAACUUGAAAAUAAAAUACUAAGAAGCAUCGCAAGGCUUACAUCACUCUAAUGGUGCACACAAAAACUAACAAAACCUUAAGAGAGCUAAAUACUCUAAUAUCACAACUCAAUAAUACUAGGGCAGCCAGCAAGGAUGAGGUGAUAUUCUUUAGUUACUCCAAUAUAAACACUAGUUUACUAAAUCAGCCACCACAGCUGCACUACACCAACAUACACACGCAAAACACAGGGAGAGAGUGAUCUUCUUCAGUCAAUCAACCAGACACUGAAUCCACCUCUAAUACCUAAAUGUAUAUGUCCUUGUUCAGCCCCACUUUUUCCUUGUUUCUGCUAGGGACAGACCAUACCAAAUCUGUUCACUAACUAAAGCCUUUCAAGUUUGUUACAAGAAUCUAAGACCCAAACUGCAUGUACUACAAGUUAAGGUGUCCAAAAUUCAGUCACCUUCCACUAAAUUUGUUUUCAGUUUUCUGAAACAGACAUCUCACACAGACCGACAGAAGAAGUUUAGGCACAUUUUACUCUAAAUUUUAUACAGCUUCAAACUUAUUUCUCUAUAAGAAACUUGUUCACCCAAUACAGCUACAAAUCUCUUCCAUAUGGUCUUUAGCUUAUAACCAUACAUACCAAGCGUUAGGCUGCAUUAAAGUUGAGUAAACACAUGGAAAAUCCAUUUUCCCAAUCUGAAACAGCACAUUACUAGGUCUGACAGAGAGUUUUGUCACUCCUUUUUCUCCAAAUUCUGCACAAUAGCAAGCCAACGCUUUGCAUGAGACUUGCUCUCCUUUACAUGGUAUUUCACUUUGCUAUAGCAUUCUUACCCCAAUUCUUCUUGGAUUAAUUACCACAAGGACCCAAAACUGAAUAAAAACACACAAAUUCAGACUUAAAUAUUAUUCUAAGUCUGAAUCCUAACAUCUGACAGUCCACCUUUUGGCCACUUUUAUUUCCAAAUUUAUGUGGAACCAAGUCCACCUCACUUUACAAAACUUACUCUCUUUACUAUGGUCUCCAGAUUUGCUAUGGAAACUUUAAUCCAAAACCCCACGAAUCAGUCACAAAUGAAUUCCAAACUAGGCAUCCUGCUGUAAUUCAGUUCUCAGAACUGAAUAACAAAAUUCAGUUAUGUACAGUCUGACGGUCCAACUUUAGCCAACCCUUUUCUCCAAUUCCAAAUAGCUUCUAGGGUAUGGCCUUCAACCAAACCUGGUCUUCUACUAUAGCUCUAUUGCUUUGCUAUAAGAGACCUAAUUUAAUUCCCUACAGGUUAGCCACUACAAAGGUACAAACAUGGCUAAAGUUUACUGAAAUUCAGACUUAGCCAAUUAGCUAAGUCUGAAACCCAGAAGUUGAUGGCCCAGUUUUGAGCAAGCUUUACAAUCAGUUCUGUAUAGGUUUUAGGUCAGAUCACUAAAUCAAACUUGUACUCCUAUAACAGAUCUAUAACUUUGUUAUAGUGUCCAUAAGCUAUAACUCUAUGGAUAGAGCAGCAAAGAGCUCCAAAGCUGCACCCAAAACAUACAAAUUCAGACUUUGAAUCUGCACUAAGUCUGAAACCUGACAAUCCUAUUUUAGACCAAAUUUCACACCUAGUUUUAGGCAACCAAUAGUGGUAGAGUUCAAGUAGUAAAUGGUGUGAGCUUCACUGACCUGCGAGGAGUAGGGAACGGGCACCACACGACCGAGACAACCUCCGAGGAAUCUUGGCCAUGGUGAGGGUGAGCAUGGUCACCAUGGCAUUCCUAGUGAGUUGGCGCACAAGUUCUGAACAGUGUCAACUGAUGGUUGGGGAGAAGGUUACAUAGGCUUGCAAACUCAAGGAUCACCACACAUAAGCAAUGAGCCAAGGCUAGGGCCUGAGGCAAGAAGGAAACUUCACUGAACUAUGCCUCAAAACACUGAAUAUAUAGGCAGGAGUAUGGAGCUCGACAAAAUCCGGUGAGCAUAAACCUUGGGGAUGCCAGCGCUGCAUGGCUCCAUGACGUGGCUCUCAUGCCCAGGCACCACACCAGCCACAAGCACAGCCAAACCUUGAACCUGGGCUGGUUUCACGUGGACAAGGCAAGUAGAUAAACUUGCAUUUGUUAAUAGGUACACAACAGUCCAAAAAUUGAUAUUUUUGAAGGGAGAAACCCCAAGAUCUUUAUCCAUUCACUCCAGCCUUACCCCAUCUCGAGUACAAUAGUGGAGUACAGCACAGAGAAAAAGAUCUCCUUCAGUUUAUAAUGGCUAACUUUAAAUUCCCUUCGUCCAUUACUGCAGAUAGUAAACAAAUUGGAUAAGGAUUCUACUGUCCACUGCCCACAAAACAGCUAGUAUUUGAUAUUUUUCCAUAGAAAGUGGGGCCUCUAGCACUUGAUCUAUGUACCAGAUCCUUAUCUCCAUCAAAAUUCACAAGCGACACCAG
This 4023-nucleotide long non-coding RNA is filed under the name Zea mays. Its description in RNAcentral is "long non-coding RNA (ZMAY_LNC000128)". Lineage: Eukaryota; Viridiplantae; Streptophyta; Magnoliopsida; Poales; Poaceae. The record is from RNAcentral.